UGCGUUUAACUUUGACUGGACUUUGGACUUUUCUUAGGCAAUCACAUGCAGCUUGAGCUGUGAGAGAGUCUGGUUUUGUGGGCUAAGCCAACAGGGAAGCACUUGCCAUGGUCCCACUCCACAGACAGGAAUUCUUAGGCUCUAAGAGGUGCCUUGAGCCUGCACAGGCACAAGCAGGACCAGGGGCUUGAUCUCAGUGAUGUCACCAGAGAUUUCCAGCUCAAGUAGAUGCAAAGGAGUCAUUGUCUACUCUUCCUUGGAGAGUGAAGACGGAGAGAGCCAUGGACUCUAAUGACUACACACCCGACCAUCUCAGAAAGGCUCCUAGGUCUCAGGCCGUGAUUGGGUGAUUCCAUUGCUGUGUGCCUGCUUGAGUUGAGCACCACGGGAGGGGGCAUGCGCAAGACGCUAGAUUGAAGACGUUCACUUCGCAGUGGACCAGAAGCAAACACAAACAAAAAUCGGUACUGGGGUCCCACUUUUCAAUGCCAGUUGUGAAUCCAUCAGAGAGUUAAUUCAGUAAUCCGCUUUCACAACUCUGUAAGGUAGCCAUGUAUUCAACACAUGAACUUGAGGAAGACAUUUCAUACUUGGAUGGUAACAGUCACGAACAGUUCGAGAGCCUGUGGGGCAGUGUGUCCACAGAUGCCAUGGGAGCGCCACACCUCCCUCUGGUAACUGAACUUUAUUCAUCCUUCUAUUUGGCUGCUCCUGGGUUGUGUUCUUUAUAAUAAACAAUACAACUUUC
Mus musculus (house mouse) is the source of this 748-nucleotide long non-coding RNA. RefSeq annotates it as predicted gene, 41392. The transcript has 3 exons. NCBI's taxonomy places the organism in Eukaryota, Metazoa, Chordata, Mammalia, Rodentia, Muridae. The record is from RefSeq and is a predicted model, not a curated record.